RNAcentral lists this ribosomal RNA (253 nucleotides) under uncultured bacterium. RNAcentral's name for it is "partial 16S ribosomal RNA". It matches the Rfam family "Bacterial small subunit ribosomal RNA", at positions 524 to 776 of the family's 1533-position model. The record is from RNAcentral.
UACGGGGGUGGCAAGCGUUGUUCGGAAUUACUGGGCGUAAAGGGCUCGUAGGCGGCCAACUAAGUCAGACGUGAAAUCCCUCGGCUUAACCGGGGAACUGCCUCUGAUACUGGAUGGCUUGAGAUUGGGAGAGGGAUGCGGAAUUCCAGGUGUAGCGGUGAAAUGCGUAGAUAUCUGGAGGAACACCGGUGGCGAAGGCGGCAUCCUGGACCAACACUGACGCUGAGGAGCGAAAGCCAGGGGAGCAAACGGG